Molecule: transfer RNA, 54 nt
Filed under: Xylobanus sp. UPOL A00104
Lineage: Eukaryota; Metazoa; Arthropoda; Insecta; Coleoptera; Lycidae
Description: partial tRNA-Ser
Source: RNAcentral
AAAGAAAUAUCAUUAAAAAAGCUUCUAACUUUUUAUAAAGCAUUAAAUUGUUUA